Molecule: ribosomal RNA, 343 nt
Filed under: Phycisphaerae bacterium
Lineage: Bacteria; Pseudomonadati; Planctomycetota; Phycisphaerae
Description: partial 23S ribosomal RNA
Rfam family: Bacterial large subunit ribosomal RNA
Source: RNAcentral
UCGCCUAUUAAAGUGGUACGCGAGCUGGGUUCAGACCGGCGUGAGCCAGGUCGGUCCCUAUCUGCUGUGGGCGUAGCAACACUGCGAGGAGACAUCCUUAGUACGAGAGGAUUGGGAUGGACGUACCCCUGGUGUGCCAGUUGCACCGCUCGGUGCACAGCUGGGUAGCUAAGUACGGCAGGGAUAACCGCUGAAAGCAUCUAAGCGGGAAGCCCACCUCAAGAUGAGUGUUGCAUGUCCUCGUGACGAAAGACCCCCGGUAGACCACCGGGUUGAUAGGCCGCAUGUGCACGCGGAGAGAUCCGUUCAGCAAAGCGGUACUAACGGUCGACAGCUUGGCCGC